Vidua chalybeata is the source of this 2172-nucleotide long non-coding RNA. RefSeq lists it as uncharacterized. The record is from RefSeq and is a predicted model, not a curated record. The transcript is spliced from 2 exons. Lineage: Eukaryota; Metazoa; Chordata; Aves; Passeriformes; Viduidae.
UGCGAGCCAGGCUGGGUUUGAAGGAUCUUAUGGAGCACUUACCGAAGUCAAAGGGAAAAUAUUUUAACUUCGCUUGUUUUGGGUCAGACUGCAAAAAACCAAAUUAGGCCUCUCUAGAAGGGGUUGGAGGUGGGUUGGAGGCCAGAGGAGGAACACGCUGCAGUCUAAGAGCAAAAUGGGAAGCUGGAUCAGAAUGGCUCUUCCACAUUUUCUAUACACUGGCAGUUCUGCCUGGAGACAAAGACGUCGCCGAAUGUCCACAUACAGAAGAAAAGACCGUCCCAUCACGCGACAGCAGACAAAACAGAAAGUGGAACAACAUUCUGCUCUAGCAGUUAAGCCAUAAGCCAGACACAGCCUGAACAGAAACUGUUUUCUGAAUGACAUGUUAUUAUCCCUUGUUUACCCUAAAAACCCUAUUGCUUUCCCUUCUUAACUUUUACCAAAAACCUCUAACCUUAUACCCACUCCCCCAUCCUUAGCUUAUAGAGAGAGGAAAAAAAAAAAAAAAAAAAAAAGGCGGGGGGGGGAAAGGAAAGGAGGAAAGGAAUAAGGGAGAAAACCCUCUCCUACCACCAUAAAGAUAACAAAUGUUGCUUAUAUUCCCUAUUAGAAGCCCCAUCCUUGUCCAAAGAUGAAAAUUAUCUCCGUUGGUGCUGUCCUCACUGCUGCCUGGAUGCUUAUCACCAUACCAUAUGCCUUCGGCUGGAUUAGCCCACAGCCUAGCCACAAUGUUUGGGUAACCUUAGCGAAAACAUUAAAACAGGAUAACAUGUGCUUAUCCAUGGGAAGCAUUGAUAACCCACUUUCCACAUGUUUAAUAGGGAUUCCAUUUGUAGCAGACGAUUGGCCCGUCUAUAAUUCAGAGCUCCUCUGCACCACAGGUAGGAGCCCCAACAUGGUAAAUACUUGGAAUGAGUGGACAAAAAUGUUGCCCAAUGCUCAAGAGGAACCCCAAGAAUUGGACCUGUUGGGGUCCUCCAAGGCAACAUACUGUGUCAAAUUUUACUUUAGAUGUCCAAAGAACAAUUGACCAGAAAUUGACCAGACAAAAAACACAUACAGAGAGGAUGUAUCACACAUCAACAAAGCCUAUAACUAUCUGGAUUGGCGCAAUUACACUGCUCAGGUGAUCUCUGUAUCCUCUCUCCACCCCAAAGUAUUACCCAAAGGAACAUUUCUCAUCUGUGGUGACAGAGUAUGGGCUGGGAUCCCCUCCCACCUCCAGGGAGGUCACUGUAGCCUUGGAAAACUUUCCACCCUCACUCCAAAUAUUACCUUGUUACAUAAUUGGAAAAAAGAAAGCGAAUUAAAACACCACAAAAGAUCCUACGCAGAAUUUGAUGAAAAUUGUGAUCCAAAAUUAUACGAUUGGAACAAAGCAAAAAAGAUUGCAGUCUCCCUUCUCCUACCCUGGGGUAGCUGCUGCUAAAGCUCUUGGUGAAAUAAAUCACUUAGGGUGCUGGUUCAGCAAGCAAGCCAACGCUACCUCUGCCACCCUAAGCGAUCUUUUAAAGGAAGAAGAAACCACGAGACAUGCAUCACUUCAAAAUUGAGCAGCAAUUGACUUCCUACUGCUAGCCCACGGACAUGGCUGCCAAGACUUUGAAGGGAUGUGUUGCUUCAAUCUCUCUUCACGCUUGGAAUCCAUCCACGCAAACAUCCAGAAACUGAAGGAACUUGUGAAGGACUUAAAAGUAGAAAGCAACCCAGACUGGGUCAAUGACCUUUUCAGUCAAUGGGGAUUAAUGGGAUGGGUUGCAUCGUUGGUUAAGGGAAUUCUGUGGAUUUUCAUUGUAAUUGUCAUUGUGUUGAAUAUGUUCUCAUGCCUUGUCCACUGUUUCAAAAGAACUAUAGGACACGCCUUUUUACUAAAUACAGAAAGUGGAGUUGUAGCAGGCAGAGGCCCUGCAAGGCCUCUAUGGCGGUCACUCGCCUAAGAUAAGAGAUGCAUAGUCAUGAUGAGUGGACCAAAGCAGCCCGUCUUCUGCCCUCAGACCCUUGUUAUCUCUCUGUAAGGCUAUAGGUCGUAUUCUCCUCAAACCUGGCCAUUGGACAAUUUCCAACACCCCAGUAUCCUACAUAAACCCCAUCUCUGCCCAAUUUGGCAGAAGAGCUGUCACUGGAAACCUUUGCAGGAGCUGCCAAUAAAGACACCGCUGCGGAACUCCA